UUAAGCGACUAAGCGUACACGGUGGAUGCCCUGGCAGUCAGAGGCGAUGAAGGACGUGCUAAUCUGCGAUAAGCGUCGGUAAGGUGAUAUGAACCGUUAUAACCGGCGAUUUCCGAAUGGGGAAACCCAGUGUGUUUCGACACACUAUCAUUAACUGAAUCCAUAGGUUAAUGAGGCGAACCGGGGGAACUGAAACAUCUAAGUACCCCGAGGAAAAGAAAUCAACCGAGAUUCCCCCAGUAGCGGCGAGCGAACGGGGAGCAGCCCAGAGCCUGAAUCAGUGUGUGUGUUAGUGGAAGCGUCUGGAAAGGCGCGCGAUACAGGGUGACAGCCCCGUACACAAAAAUGCACAUGCUGUGAGCUCGAUGAGUAGGGCGGGACACGUGGUAUCCUGUCUGAAUAUGGGGGGACCAUCCUCCAAGGCUAAAUACUCCUGACUGACCGAUAGUGAACCAGUACCGUGAGGGAAAGGCGAAAAGAACCCCGGCGAGGGGAGUGAAAAAGAACCUGAAACCGUGUACGUACAAGCAGUGGGAGCACGCUUAGGCGUGUGACUGCGUACCUUUUGUAUAAUGGGUCAGCGACUUAUAUUCUGUAGCAAGGUUAACCGAAUAGGGGAGCCGAAGGGAAACCGAGUCUUAACUGGGCGUUAAGUUGCAGGGUAUAGACCCGAAACCCGGUGAUCUAGCCAUGGGCAGGUUGAAGGUUGGGUAACACUAACUGGAGGACCGAACCGACUAAUGUUGAAAAAUUAGCGGAUGACUUGUGGCUGGGGGUGAAAGGCCAAUCAAACCGGGAGAUAGCUGGUUCUCCCCGAAAGCUAUUUAGGUAGCGCCUCGUGAAUUCAUCUCCGGGGGUAGAGCACUGUUUCGGCAAGGGGGUCAUCCCGACUUACCAACCCGAUGCAAACUGCGAAUACCGGAGAAUGUUAUCACGGGAGACACACGGCGGGUGCUAACGUCCGUCGUGAAGAGGGAAACAACCCAGACCGCCAGCUAAGGUCCCAAAGUCAUGGUUAAGUGGGAAACGAUGUGGGAAGGCCCAGACAGCCAGGAUGUUGGCUUAGAAGCAGCCAUCAUUUAAAGAAAGCGUAAUAGCUCACUGGUCGAGUCGGCCUGCGCGGAAGAUGUAACGGGGCUAAACCAUGCACCGAAGCUGCGGCAGCGACGCUUAUGCGUUGUUGGGUAGGGGAGCGUUCUGUAAGCCUGUGAAGGUGUACUGUGAGGUAUGCUGGAGGUAUCAGAAGUGCGAAUGCUGACAUAAGUAACGAUAAAGCGGGUGAAAAGCCCGCUCGCCGGAAGACCAAGGGUUCCUGUCCAACGUUAAUCGGGGCAGGGUGAGUCGACCCCUAAGGCGAGGCCGAAAGGCGUAGUCGAUGGGAAACAGGUUAAUAUUCCUGUACUUGGUGUUACUGCGAAGGGGGGACGGAGAAGGCUAUGUUGGCCGGGCGACGGUUGUCCCGGUUUAAGCGUGUAGGCUGGUUUUCCAGGCAAAUCCGGAAAAUCAAGGCUGAGGCGUGAUGACGAGGCACUACGGUGCUGAAGCAACAAAUGCCCUGCUUCCAGGAAAAGCCUCUAAGCAUCAGGUAACAUCAAAUCGUACCCCAAACCGACACAGGUGGUCAGGUAGAGAAUACCAAGGCGCUUGAGAGAACUCGGGUGAAGGAACUAGGCAAAAUGGUGCCGUAACUUCGGGAGAAGGCACGCUGAUAUGUAGGUGAAGUCCCUCGCGGAUGGAGCUGAAAUCAGUCGAAGAUACCAGCUGGCUGCAACUGUUUAUUAAAAACACAGCACUGUGCAAACACGAAAGUGGACGUAUACGGUGUGACGCCUGCCCGGUGCCGGAAGGUUAAUUGAUGGGGUUAGCGCAAGCGAAGCUCUUGAUCGAAGCCCCGGUAAACGGCGGCCGUAACUAUAACGGUCCUAAGGUAGCGAAAUUCCUUGUCGGGUAAGUUCCGACCUGCACGAAUGGCGUAAUGAUGGCCAGGCUGUCUCCACCCGAGACUCAGUGAAAUUGAACUCGCUGUGAAGAUGCAGUGUACCCGCGGCAAGACGGAAAGACCCCGUGAACCUUUACUAUAGCUUGACACUGAACAUUGAGCCUUGAUGUGUAGGAUAGGUGGGAGGCUUUGAAGUGUGGACGCCAGUCUGCAUGGAGCCGACCUUGAAAUACCACCCUUUAAUGUUUGAUGUUCUAACGUUGACCCGUAAUCCGGGUUGCGGACAGUGUCUGGUGGGUAGUUUGACUGGGGCGGUCUCCUCCUAAAGAGUAACGGAGGAGCACGAAGGUUGGCUAAUCCUGGUCGGACAUCAGGAGGUUAGUGCAAUGGCAUAAGCCAGCUUGACUGCGAGCGUGACGGCGCGAGCAGGUGCGAAAGCAGGUCAUAGUGAUCCGGUGGUUCUGAAUGGAAGGGCCAUCGCUCAACGGAUAAAAGGUACUCCGGGGAUAACAGGCUGAUACCGCCCAAGAGUUCAUAUCGACGGCGGUGUUUGGCACCUCGAUGUCGGCUCAUCACAUCCUGGGGCUGAAGUAGGUCCCAAGGGUAUGGCUGUUCGCCAUUUAAAGUGGUACGCGAGCUGGGUUUAGAACGUCGUGAGACAGUUCGGUCCCUAUCUGCCGUGGGCGCUGGAGAACUGAGGGGGGCUGCUCCUAGUACGAGAGGACCGGAGUGGACGCAUCACUGGUGUUCGGGUUGUCAUGCCAAUGGCACUGCCCGGUAGCUAAAUGCGGAAGAGAUAAGUGCUGAAAGCAUCUAAGCACGAAACUUGCCCCGAGAUGAGUUCUCCCUGACUCCUUGAGAGUCCUGAAGGAACGUUGAAGACGACGACGUUGAUAGGCCGGGUGUGUAAGCGCAGCGAUGCGUUGAGCUAACCGGUACUAAUGAACCGUGAGGCUUAACCU
This 2901-nucleotide ribosomal RNA is filed under the name Escherichia coli. RNAcentral's name for it is "23S ribosomal RNA". It matches the Rfam family "Bacterial large subunit ribosomal RNA". Lineage: Bacteria; Pseudomonadati; Pseudomonadota; Gammaproteobacteria; Enterobacterales; Enterobacteriaceae. The record is from RNAcentral.